GAUGAACGCUGGCGGCGUGCCUAAUACAUGCAAGUCGAGCGAACAGAUGAGAAGCUUGCUUCUCUGAUGUUAGCGGCGGACGGGUGAGUAACACGUGGGUAACCUACCUAUAAGACUGGGGUAACUCCGGGAAACCGGGGCUAAUACCGGAUAAUAUUCUGAACCGCAUGGUUCAAUAGUGAAAGACGGUUUCGGCUGUCACUUAUAGAUGGACCCGCGCCGUAUUAGCUAGUUGGUAAGGUAACGGCUUACCAAGGCGACGAUACGUAGCCGACCUGAGAGGGUGAUCGGCCACACUGGAACUGAGACACGGUCCAGACUCCUACGGGAGGCAGCAGUAGGGAAUCUUCCGCAAUGGGCGAAAGCCUGACGGAGCAACGCCGCGUGAGUGAUGAAGGUCUUCGGAUCGUAAAACUCUGUUGUUAGGGAAGAACAAAUUUGUUAGUAACUGAACAAGUCUUGACGGUACCUAACCAGAAAGCCACGGCUAACUACGUGCCAGCAGCCGCGGUAA
RNAcentral lists this ribosomal RNA (514 nucleotides) under uncultured bacterium. RNAcentral describes it as "partial 16S ribosomal RNA". It matches the Rfam family "Bacterial small subunit ribosomal RNA", at positions 28 to 523 of the family's 1533-position model. The record is from RNAcentral.